UCUGCAGAGUACAUCUGCAUACGCUUCUUUUUGGCUUCACACAGGUGCUGCUAACCCAUCAGCUAGGACCUCUACCACACACUACACCAGACCAAAAGGGAGACAGAACCUACUGCCCGUUUUCCCUGGACGAGAAGGGUGGUGUCUCAAGGGGAGGCCAGAAAUUGUCUCUGGGGACUUGGAUGCUGUUUCUGCUUGAGGAUCUCUCUGCCAUAGGACAAGUAUUUUACUCAGCCUUGUCCCUCAGUCACUGCCUGUGAGAUGAAGGGAUCUUUAUAUAUCUGUGAGAUAUGUGACCAGCUGACAGACCCUCUGCCAAUUAUCAGGUGGAUUUAUUUUCUCCACAAAUUGCAUCUUUGCCAUGAGCAGCCUGUGACUUCAGCCCCUGCGCCCUCAGAGCUUCUCAGUGCAGCUAGAAGUCUGACAGCUAUUCUGAAUGUCCUGAAGUCUA
This 451-nucleotide long non-coding RNA is filed under the name Anser brachyrhynchus (Pink-footed goose). RNAcentral describes it as "lncRNA (ENSABRG00000011200.1)". Lineage: Eukaryota; Metazoa; Chordata; Aves; Anseriformes; Anatidae. The record is from RNAcentral.